AAAAAUAUGAACAAUAAUAAAAGAGAAGGGAUAGAAAGAUCAACACAAAAAUUUAUAUUGGUUCGACCAAACCUACAUCCAGUCUUCUUUCAACAACUUGAGUUGAAGAGAACCUCUAUAUUGAUAGCGUUUUAAGCAAGAAAUACAGAGAACUACCCUCUCAAAUGUACUCUCCUUUCCCAAAUCAAUAUCACCUAUAGCACAAGACUUGAAUACCUCACAGUCUUAACCUAGAAAGCUAUCCCCACUCU
RNAcentral lists this long non-coding RNA (251 nucleotides) under Vigna radiata. RNAcentral describes it as "long non-coding RNA (VRAD_LNC014807)". The record is from RNAcentral. Lineage: Eukaryota; Viridiplantae; Streptophyta; Magnoliopsida; Fabales; Fabaceae.